Molecule: long non-coding RNA, 339 nt
Organism: Xiphophorus hellerii (green swordtail)
Lineage: Eukaryota; Metazoa; Chordata; Actinopteri; Cyprinodontiformes; Poeciliidae
Exons: 3
Source: RefSeq, a predicted model, not a curated record
AAAAUUUACCAUCCAUGCUGGUGACCUAUUCUAUGGAGCCUUACCCGAAAGAAGGGCCAUACGGUCCAAAGAAGAGGCCUGGAACCUCUUCAAGGAGUUUCAUGCAUCCCCCAUGGGAGGACACACUGGCAUUGUCAAAACACGCAUUGCCAUGUGUUCCCGAUUCUAUUGGCCUGGUAUGACAGCAGACAUUGAGAAAUGGGUGUCUCAAUGUGACCGGUGCCAAAGAGUUGGACCUCCCCUCCAAGUUGUCAGAGAACUUCAGUGCAUAAAGGUAACCAUCCACAGCAAUUCAUGAAGUUUACCACCUCUAGGACAUUGUUGCUGAUAACAUUGUUG